Alligator mississippiensis (American alligator) is the source of this 3746-nucleotide long non-coding RNA. RefSeq lists it as uncharacterized. The record is from RefSeq and is a predicted model, not a curated record. The transcript is spliced from 3 exons. NCBI's taxonomy places the organism in Eukaryota, Metazoa, Chordata, Crocodylia, Alligatoridae.
UUUUGGGGACGGGACAGCGAAUGAAAACGAAGGGAGGAGCCAGGCAUGGAAAUCGGCUUACAAAGACUACUGAAUUGAGAUCCGGAUAUCAGGCCUCUUGUACCUCCUGGAUUAGUCGUCUGCAGCAAACUGCAGAGUGACUGCACAAGAGGGAAGGACACUGCCCAGUCAGUGUCCACUGUUAAAAUAUUCUGCUUUCCCAGCUUGUGACUCUCUCACGGUUUCUGAGACUUCGGGUCUCUCUUCCCGAGGCGACGGUGCAGGGACGGUAGAAGCAAGGGGUGGCCAGGCACUCAUGCGCUACCGCUCGCCAAGAAAAUGCACGUUGUCGCCCUGAGGUAGCCCAGGGGUCCGGGCUUGGGGCACGCACGUAGGAUGCCUGCCAUGGAUUUGGGAGUGUCUGCAGGCCCGGGCUGAGGAGUCUGGGCAGGAGAGUACUUGCAGGCGGUCGCGCCGCACAGACUUGUACGGUCGAGUCCUGCUCCCUCGACAGGAUUCGGAGCCGAUUUGACCUGAGAGACCAGCGGUGUAUAAAACUUGUCUCGGGUGCCUGGGAUUGCUGGACGGGGAGGAUUCGUCCCAAUCUUGAGCAAACAGUGAUUCAGGCGGAGGAGUCCUAUUUAAUCAAAAUAGCAGGAAGUCAUCAUAUAGUUCAUCUACAACAAAAAAUGCAAGUGCUUUCUUUGAACCUUUCCUUUCUUUUUGUAGAAAGCAUAAGUGCGCAUGGCAAGUUAGAGAAACGAAAACAAGAAAUCUGUCCCAAGUGACUUACAGUUUGUUACCCCAAAGUGGUGACCAUUCAGUGUUUAGAAAGACACAGACUUCAGCCUGUCUGUGACCAAGACCUUUUCUGCAAUCUAACAGAAUUAAGGUACAGCUUCAGUUCCCUCAGUGGUCGCUGCUCAGGUCAGAAAAGAGGCGAAAGACAGAUCUACAGCCUGCCCUUUUAUUGUUCACACCCCAAAGUUCAAAGAAUAUACACUUUUUUCAGUGCCUAUCUAGCUAUGUAAAAUAGUGCAAUAUAGAUUCUCACCUUUAUCAGCUGGGGAUAUUUGGGGAGCGGAAGUGGGGUAGCAGCUUGCCGAUUUGCAGCGUGUCAUCUUCAUUUGUGGAAUUCUCCAAUUUUCCUUCCAGCUCACAUCCUAUAUUUACAGGGAGCUUAUUUUAAUGUUUUAAUAAACAUUAAAACAUUCAUUCAGAUUUCUUUGUUUCACUGAAACUUUAGCACCUGGAAUGACACCAGUCCUCUGGUGGAUGGAGAAGAUGUCAGUUAGCUGGGAUUGAUGUCCUUGUGAAGUUACAACUCCGCAGCAGAGGAUUUCUUAUCUCCUCCUUUGCUAUCACUGUUUGCAACCCCCCUGUUUUCUUUUUGCCUUUGUUCAUGGGCUUCACUGACCAGGCUGCUUUGUUUCUAAAGUUUAUCUAAGACAUUUAAAAUAAAUGCCUCUAUUAUAGCAAAGCCACUGGUAUAUUGAGUGCUCUUGGUUCUAACAGUCAUUCCUACUAACAUUAUCAAACUAAAGGUGUGAUAUAUCGCUUUUCAAUGAUCUGUUGUAAGCCUUCCUUACUAUUAUGUCAUCUUUGUGACUCUUUGCUCUAGUUUUCUCUGGACGUAUUAAUUGCUUUCUUUCAUUGACCAGGCUAGUUGUCAUGUCUGCAAAAGUUCACUCCUGCUUAAGCUUCAGUUCUGUAGCUUGGUACAGGCCUCUUGAAAAUGGCCCAGACUGGCAACAAGUGAUUAUACAUUUCCACUGAGCAUGCUGUGCUCAUUUAACAAGAACACAGUAUUCUUGUAAUAGGAUCCUACCAGGGGUCAGUAGGCUGGAUCUGGCCUGUGGAGCAACUGGAUCUGGAUCUGGCCCACAGAAUCCCAGGGCUUUGUUUGUGCCGAGCCUGUGCCUGCACUGGGGCCGGGCAACUUCCAGCUACCCCCUUGCCACUGCUACUUUUGACGCUUUCCCAGACCAUAGAAAAGAACAUUUUCAGUCUAGUUUUUGAAUCUCAGUGAAACAAAAAAAUUGAGACUGGAGUGUGCAGUGAAAUAUGAAAGUUUGCAUAUGGUACAAAAUUAUUCUGGGUAAUCAGUUCCCAAGCAGAUGGCGAGCUGAUGUCUGUGGUGUCUAUGCUCAAGUUCUUGCUGGUCCAGUCCUGUGCCCCAAGGCUCACGUUGAAGUCCUCAUGGGGCGCAUCUACCCAAGACGCUUAUUGCACAUUAGCCUAAUAACACUGCGCAGUAGCGCAUCACAGCACAAACCGUGCUAAUCACCUACUGCACCUACUGUGCUAUGAGGCUAAUGCGCAGUAAGCAUCACUAAAUAACCGUGCGCUGGCACUACUGCACAGUAACUCCAGGUACUGAGCAUUUAGUCAGUACUUUAUUAAGCAAGUACUACAAUAAAUGCACAGUAUCUAAGAUGUGCACAUGGACAUAUAAACAUGCGCGCUGAGGACCAGGCACUCGUGAGGACUCAGGGUGCUGAGGUAGUGGGUUCUUGCUGAUCAGCGCUGUGAGUGGGGGUGCCGACCUUAGCCAGGUUCAAGAUAGCCCCUGCGUUUGGGCCCAGAGAUGGGCCAGGCAGCCAGCACCGCCUCAGCCAUUUGCAGGAUUUCCAUCUGCAGCCCUGGGGAGAACAGGGUUGCCCCAUCCUGUCUCUGUGGGGUGGCUGAAGUAGACCCUGUCCCCCAACUCCAGCUGCCACCUGGCUUCAGUUGUGGGGUCAUGUAAGUUUUCUGCAGGAAUAGUACAGAGUGCACCCCUGUCCAAAUGGACCUGAGGAGACCUGUCCUGCAGCCAUGGAUGCUGAGGCGGUGAUGGUGAGGGUCCUCAGGGCUGAGGGUUGCUGGGAGACUCAGUGGGGGCUCAUGAGGGACAGUGCCAGUCGCAGGGCCAGCAGCAACUGCAUUCUCCUUCUGCAGAUGAGACGGUGUUGUGAAAGCGGUGGGCCUGCUGGAAAUCUCUGCCAUUCUGCCUCCUGGGCCCCUUGCCCUCCCUCCACAGAGCCUUCCUUCCUGGCACAAGGAUCUGGUGAUAAUCCCCACAGCCAUCCUGGUGAGCUGCACCUUGUUUCCAGAGUGCAGCGGGUUCUCCAGACUUGGUCAGGAAAUGCCACUGUUUCAUCAUGGAUGCUGCCAGUUUGCUUAAUUUUCCUUUCUGUUUUCCCUUCUGUACACGUAUGGAGAAUUAGAGUAAGUGUCCUGUCUUUAAUAAUGUGCAUUUGCAUUUCUAAUCCAUCAAAUGCUUAUCUUUGUUUUUAGAGAGUUCAUAGCCAAGGACUUACCAGUUUUUACUUAUGAUGAGAAGGGAGACCUGAUAACUGAUAAUCCAUAUAUUCAAGUUGCUUUGCCUGAACCCUGCAUCUUUUCUCGCUGUCUAAAGUAUAAAUACGCUUGCAAAUUUGUAGAGGUCAGAGUUCCUUUGAGAACUCUCCCUGUGAUCACUUGUAUAGUUUUAAAUAAACCUAGAUGGCUCUGCCAAUUCUAAUACAACCACAACGCGAAGUUUGAUUUCUUCCACACCAGUUGAAGUAGCGCCUGAUGAACAUCCAAGUCGCUAAGAGGGAGCUGCCCGAGUAAAGGACGGGGAUGUGGUACAUGGGAGGUCCCUUGAAGGGGCCAGCAGUGGGAUGACCCAGUCUCUCCCCGUGAUGCCCUGCAGGUGCGGUUUGUGCUGGUGGGUAGUUGUAGUUCUCCCUGCAAGCUGUGAGCUUGUGAGUUGCUGAAUCCUGUUCCUAAUAAAGAUCAAGCUG